AUGUUUUGAUGACUAAAGACUGGGACCGCAAUCCAGUCGCAUAAAGAUGGGCUCGUGUCCUAUCAGCUAGUUGGUGAGGUAAUGGCUCACCAAGGCUUUUGACGGGGUAGCUGGUCUGAGAGGAUGGUCAGCCACACUGGGACUGAGACACUGCCCAGACUCCUACGGGAGGCUGCAGUCGAGGAUAUUUAGCAAUGGACGAAAGUCUGACUAUGCGACGCCGCGUGAGGGAUGAAGGUUCUCGGAUCGUAAACCUCUUUUGUCAGGGAAGAACAUGUUCAAUCUAAUAAGUUGAAUAUUGACGGUACCUGACGAAUAAGCCACGGCCAACUCCGUGCCAGCAGCCGCGGUAAUACGGAGGUGGCAAGCGUUACUCGGAAUCAUUGGGUGUAAAGGGCAAGUAGGCGGUCUAUUAAGUGAGGGGUGAAAUCUUCCGACUCAAUCGGAAAACUGCCUUUCAAACUGGUAGACUUGAGGUAGGAAGGGGGAAACGGAAUUCCAGGUGUAAGGGUGAAAUCUGUAGAUAUCUGGAAGAACACCGGCGGCGAAGGCGGUUUCCUGGUCCUACCCUGACGCUGAAUUGCGAAAGCUAGGGGAGCAAACAGAAUUAGAUACUCUGGUAGUCCUAGCCGUAAACGAUGAGUACUAGGUGUUGGUCCUUCUGGGAUCAGUGCCGCAGCUAACGCAUUAAGUACUCCACCUGAGGACUACGGUCGCAAGGCUAAAACUCAAAGG
Molecule: ribosomal RNA, 735 nt
Filed under: uncultured bacterium
Lineage: Bacteria
Description: bacterial SSU rRNA
Rfam family: Bacterial small subunit ribosomal RNA
Source: RNAcentral